GACAAACGCUGGCGGCGUGCAUAAAGCAUGUAAGUCGAACGCGAAAGUCCCGCAAGGGAUCGGUAGAGUGGCAAACGGGUGAGUAACACGUGGGUGACCUGCCUUCGAGUGGGGGAUAACGUCCCGAAAGGGACGCUAAUACCGCAUGACAUCCUGCCUUUUAAGAGGCGGAGAUCAAAGCUGGGGAUCGCAAGACCUAGCGCUUGAAGAGGGGCCCGCGCCCGAUUAGCUAGUUGGUGGGGUAACGGCCUACCAAGGCAACGAUCGGUAGCCGGCCUGAGAGGGCGGACGGCCACACUGGGACUGAGACACGGCCCAGACUCCUACGGGAGGCAGCAGUGGGGAAUUGUUCGCAAUGGGCGCAAGCCUGACGACGCAACGCCGCGUGGAGGAUGAAGAUCUUCGGGUCGUAAACUCCUUUCGAUCGAGACGAACGGCCUCCGGGUGAACAAUCCGGAGGAGUGACGGUA
This 470-nucleotide ribosomal RNA is filed under the name uncultured Acidobacteriota bacterium. Its description in RNAcentral is "bacterial SSU rRNA". It matches the Rfam family "Bacterial small subunit ribosomal RNA", at positions 28 to 477 of the family's 1533-position model. Lineage: Bacteria; Pseudomonadati; Acidobacteriota. The record is from RNAcentral.